RNAcentral lists this ribosomal RNA (450 nucleotides) under uncultured bacterium. RNAcentral describes it as "partial 16S ribosomal RNA". It matches the Rfam family "Bacterial small subunit ribosomal RNA", at positions 354 to 796 of the family's 1533-position model. The record is from RNAcentral.
GUGGGGAAUAUUGGACAAUGGGCGAAAGCCUGAUCCAGCCAUGCCGCGUGUGUGAAGAAGGUCUUCGGAUUGUAAAGCACUUUAAGUUGGGAGGAAGGGCAGUAAGUUAAUACCUUGCUGUUUUGACGUUACAGACAGAAUAAGCACCGGCUAACUUCGUGCCAGCAGCCGCGGUAAUACGAAGGGUGCAAGCGUUAAUCGGAAUUACUGGGCGUAAAGCGCGCGUAGGUGGUUUUGUAAGUUGGAGGUGAAAUCCCCGGGCUCAACCUGGGAACUGCCUACAAAACUGCAUGACUAGAGUACGGUAGAGGGUAGUGGAAUUUCCUGUGUAGCGGUGAAAUGCGUAGAUAUAGGAAGGAACACCAGUGGCGAAGGCGACUACCUGGACUGAUACUGACACUGAGGUGCGAAAGCGUGGGGAGCAAACAGGAUUAGAAACCCGUGUAGUCC